AUGAGUACCUUAAGUUGGAACUGCCGAGGGGGAGGGAACUCUCGGACAGUUCGGGAUCUCGUGAGUUUGGUGCAAACUCAUUCCCCUUGUAUUGUCUUUUUAUGCGAAACUAGCCAGUCAAAAGAAAAAAUGAAAAGAUAUCGCCCUCGAUUAGGCUUGAGUGGUUUCGAGGCAGUUGAUAGCAAUGGUCUUAGUGGAGGUCUCGCACUAUAUUGGCACGAGUCUGUGCAA
This 231-nucleotide ribosomal RNA is filed under the name Triticum aestivum (bread wheat). RNAcentral's name for it is "partial small subunit ribosomal RNA". The record is from RNAcentral. Lineage: Eukaryota; Viridiplantae; Streptophyta; Magnoliopsida; Poales; Poaceae.